AACCCCGGAACUGCAUCCGAUACUGCCGUGCUAGAGGAUUGGAGAGGUAGCUGGAAUUCACGGUGUAGCAGUGAAAUGCGUAGAUAUCGUGAGGAACACUCGUGGCGAAAGCGAGCUACUGGACAACUCCUGACGCUGAGGCUCGAAGGCCAGGGUAGCGAAAGGGAUUAGAUACCCCUGUAGUCCUGGCAGUGAACGGUGCACGCUUGGCGUGAGGGGAAUCGACCCCCCUUGUGCCGGAGCUAACGCGUUAAGCGUGCCGCCUGGGAAGUACGGUCGCAAGACUAAAACUCAAAGAAAUUGACGGGGACCCGCACAAGCGGUGGAGUAUGUGGCUUAAUUCGAUGCAACGCGAAGAACCUUACCAAGGCUUGACAUGCAUCUCUAAGCGCGUGAAAGCGCGUGACCCUUCGGGGGAUUUGCACAGGUGCUGCAUGGCCGUCGUCAGCUCGUGUCGUGAGAUGUUGGGUUAAGUCCCGCAACGAGCGCAACCCUUGUGAUUAGUUGCCAGCACGUCCUGGUGGGAACUCUAGUCAGACUGCCCAGAUCAACUGGGAGGAAGGUGGGGACGACGUCAGGUCAGUAUGGCCCUUACGCCUUGGGCUGCACACGUACUACAAUGCCCAGUACAAUGAGAACCGAGACCGCGAGGUGGAGGAAAUCUGCAAAACUGGGCCCAGUUCGGAUUGGAGGCUGCAACUCGCCUCCAUGAAGUUGGAAUCGCUAGUAAUGGCGCAUCAUCUACGGCGCCGUGAAUACGUUCCCGGGUCUUGUACACACCGCCCGU
Molecule: ribosomal RNA, 787 nt
Filed under: uncultured bacterium
Lineage: Bacteria
Description: bacterial SSU rRNA
Rfam family: Bacterial small subunit ribosomal RNA
Source: RNAcentral